This 326-nucleotide long non-coding RNA is filed under the name Arabidopsis lyrata. Its description in RNAcentral is "long non-coding RNA (ALYR_LNC000152)". Lineage: Eukaryota; Viridiplantae; Streptophyta; Magnoliopsida; Brassicales; Brassicaceae. The record is from RNAcentral.
AGAAGGAGAAGGAGCAGGAGCAUGAGAAGAAGGAGAAGGAAAAGGAGAAGGAGAUAGAGCAAGAGAAGAGUUUGGCUCCUAUUUUGAUCUCUGAUGAUGAGUAUCGCUUGUAUUCUGGUGUGUGAUGUUGAUGUAUAAAUCUAUGUUUAGGUACAACUGGUGCGAUUAGGUACAACUAUGUUUCUGGGUUUAUGUAUUUUGAUUAGGUAUGAAUCUGUGAUUUUGUACAACUGGUACGAUUAGGUACAACUAUGUUUCUGGGUUUAUGUAUUUUGAUUAGGUAUGAAUCUGAAUCUUAAUAUUUUUAAGUAUUGAAUAUAAAUAUA